Molecule: small RNA, 720 nt
Filed under: Pan troglodytes (chimpanzee)
Lineage: Eukaryota; Metazoa; Chordata; Mammalia; Primates; Hominidae
Description: retained intron
Source: RNAcentral
GUGGUCUCAAUGCCCACUUAGACUCUGCCUCUGAAUUUGACCAUAGUGGCGUUCAGCUGAUAGAGCGGGAAGAAGAAAUAUGCAUUUUUUAUGAAAAAAUAAAUAUCCAAGAGAAGAUGAAACUAAAUGGAGAAAUUGAAAUACAUCUACUGGAAGAAAAGAUCCAAUUCCUGAAAAUGAAGAUUGCUGAGAAGCAAAGACAAAUUCGUGUGACCCAGAAAUUACUGCCAGCCAAGAGGUCCCUGGAUGCUGACCUAGCUGUGCUCCAAAUUCAGUUUUCACAGUGUACAGACAGAAUUAAAGACCUGGAGAAACAGUUCGUAAAGCCUGAUGCUGGAACUACAACUGGCCAAGAAGGAGGAGAAGCUGCUGGAGAAGGAUUUCAUCUAUGAACAGGUCUCCAGGCUCACGGACAGGCUCUGCAGCAAAACUCAGGACUGCAAGCAGGACACACUGCUCUUAGCCAAGAAGAUGAAUGGCUAUCAAAGAAGGAUCAAAAAUGCAACUGAGAAAAUGAUGGCUCUUGUUGCUGAGCUGUCCAUGAAACAAGCCCUAACCAUUGAACUCCAAAAGGAAGUCAGGGAGAAAGAAGACUUCAUCUUCACUUGCAAUUCCAGGAUAGAAAAAGGUCUGCCACUCAAUAAGGAAAUUGAGAAAGAAUGGUUGAAAGUCCUUCGAGAUGAAGAAAUGCAUGCCUUGGCCAUCGCUGAAAAGUCUCAG